This 348-nucleotide ribosomal RNA is filed under the name uncultured bacterium. Its description in RNAcentral is "bacterial SSU rRNA". It matches the Rfam family "Bacterial small subunit ribosomal RNA", at positions 8 to 353 of the family's 1533-position model. The record is from RNAcentral.
AGAGUUUGAUCAUGGCUCAGGACGAACGCUGGCGGCGCGCCUAACACAUGCAAGUCGAACGGUGAAGAGGAGCUUGCUCCUUGGAACAGUGGCGGACGGGUGAGUAACACGUGAGCAACCUGGCUCUAAGAGGGGGGACAACAGUUGGAAACGACUGCUAAUACCGCAUAACGUAUCGGGAUGGCAUCUUCCUGAUACCAAAGAUUUUAUCGCUUAGAGAUGGGCUCGCGUCUGAUUAGAUAGUUGGCGGGGUAACGGCCCACCAAGUCGACGAUCAGUAGCCGGACUGAGAGGUUGAACGGCCACAUUGGGACUGAGACGCGGCCCAGACUCCUACGGGAGGCAGCA